CCUACGGGAGGCAGCAGUGAGGAAUAUUGGUCAAUGGCCGGAAGGCUGAACCAGCCAUGCCGCGUGAAGGUCAGUGCCCUAUGGGCGUUAAACUUCUUUUGUGCGGGAGCAAUAAUGGUCACGUGUGGCCAGACGAGAGUACCGUACGAAUAAGCAUCGGCUAACUCCGUGCCAGCAGCCGCGGUAAUACGGGGGAUGCAAGCGUUAUCCGGAUUUAUUGGGUUUAAAGGGUGCGUAGGCGGAUUGAUAAGUUAGAGGUGAAAUGUCCGAGCUUAACUCGGGAACUGCCUCUAAUACUGUUGAUCUAGAGAGUAGAUGCGGUAGGCGGAAUGUAUGGUGUAGCGGUGAAAUGCUUAGAGAUCAUACAGAACACCGAUUGCGAAGGCAGCUUACCAAUCUAUAUCUGACGUUGAGGCACGAAAGCGUGGGGAGCAAACAGGAUUAGAUACCCCUGUAGUC
This 459-nucleotide ribosomal RNA is filed under the name uncultured bacterium. RNAcentral describes it as "partial 16S ribosomal RNA". It matches the Rfam family "Bacterial small subunit ribosomal RNA", at positions 338 to 795 of the family's 1533-position model. The record is from RNAcentral.